GGUUACCUCCGGCGUGCUAUAAUGCAGUCGAGCGAAUGGAUUGAGAGCUUGCUCUUAUGAAGUUAGCGGCGGACGGGUGAGUAACACGUGGGUAACCUGCCCAUAAGACUGGGAUAACUCCGGGAAACCGGGGCUAAUACCGGAUAAUAUUUUGAACUGCAUGGUUCGAAAUUGAAAGGCGGGCUUCGGCUGUCACUUAUGGGAUGGACCCGCGUCGCAUUAGCUAGUUGGUGAGGUAACGAGCUCACCAAGGCAACGAUGCGUAGGCCGACCGGAGAGGGGUGAUCGGCCACACUGGGACUGAGACACGGCCCAGGACUCUUACGGGGAGGCAGCAGUAGGGAAUCUUCCGCAAUGGACGAAAGUCUGACGGGAGCAACGCCGCGUGAGUGAUGAAGGCUUUCGGGGUCGUAAAACUCUGUUGUUAGGGGAAGAACAAGUGCUAGUUGAAUAAGCUGGGCACCCUUGACGGUACCUAACCCAGAAAGCCACGGCUAACUACGUGCCAGCAGCCCGCGGUAAUACGUAGGUGGCAAGCGUUAUCCCGGAAUUAUUGGGCGUAAAGCGCGCGCAGGUGGUUUCUUAAGUCUGAUGUGAAAGCCCCACGGCUCAACCGUGGAGGGUCAUUGGAAACUGGGAGACUUGAGUGCAGAAGAGGAAAGUGGAAUUCCAUGUGUAGCGGUGAAAUGCGUAGAGAUAUGGAGGAACACCAGUGGCGAAGGCGACUUUCUGGUCUGUAACUGACACUGAGGCGCGAAAGCGUGGGGAGCAAACAGGAUUAGAUACUCCUGGUAGUCCACGCCGUAAACGAUGAGUGCUAAGUGUUAGAGGGUUUCCGCCCUUUUAGUGCUGAAGUUAACGCAUUAAGCACUCCGCCUGGGGAGUACGGCCGCAAGGCUGAAACUCAAAGGAAUUGACGGGGGCCCGCACAAGCGGUGGAGCAUGUGGUUUAAUUGGAAGCAACGCGAAGAACCUUACCAGGUCUUGACAUCCUCUGAAAACUCUAGAGAUAGAGCUUCUCCUUCGGGGAGCAGAGGGACAGGUGGUUCCAGGUUUUUUAAAGUUUUUC
Molecule: ribosomal RNA, 1069 nt
Filed under: Bacillus sp. S13(2012)
Lineage: Bacteria; Bacillati; Bacillota; Bacilli; Caryophanales; Bacillaceae
Description: bacterial SSU rRNA
Rfam family: Bacterial small subunit ribosomal RNA
Source: RNAcentral